This 439-nucleotide ribosomal RNA is filed under the name uncultured bacterium. RNAcentral describes it as "bacterial SSU rRNA". It matches the Rfam family "Bacterial small subunit ribosomal RNA", at positions 958 to 1397 of the family's 1533-position model. The record is from RNAcentral.
AACGCGAAGAACCUUACCAGGACUUGACAUGGAGAGGACGUGCCCAGAGAUGGGUAUUCCCGCAAGGGCCUCUUGCACAGGUGCUGCAUGGCUGUCGUCAGCUCGUGUCGUGAGAUGUUGGGUUAAGUCCCGCAACGAGCGCAACCCUCGCCUUCAGUUGCCAUCACGUUUGGGUGGGCACUCUGAAGGAACUGCCGGUGACAAGCCGGAGGAAGGUGGGGAUGACGUCAAGUCCUCAUGGCCCUUAUGUCCUGGGCUACACACGUGCUACAAUGGCGGUGACAGCGGGAAGCCAGGUCGCGAGGCCGAGCUGAUCCCGAAAAGCCGUCUCAGUUCGGAUUGCACUCUGCAACUCGGGUGCAUGAAGGUGGAAUCGCUAGUAAUCGCGGAACAGCAUGCCGCGGUGAAUACGUUCCCGGGCCUUGUACACACCGGCUAC